This 30-nucleotide non-coding RNA is filed under the name Rattus norvegicus (Norway rat). The record is from RNAcentral. Lineage: Eukaryota; Metazoa; Chordata; Mammalia; Rodentia; Muridae.
UACAAAUUAGAAAUCAAUUUCAAGGGCUAA